This 4439-nucleotide long non-coding RNA is filed under the name Salmo salar (Atlantic salmon). RNAcentral describes it as "lncRNA (ENSSSAG00000086062.1, ENSSSAG00020047978.1)". The record is from RNAcentral. Lineage: Eukaryota; Metazoa; Chordata; Actinopteri; Salmoniformes; Salmonidae.
GGGUAAUAUCAAAAAGUGAGUCAAGUCAUUGUUUAUAGUGAAAAUAUGAGCGGACUAUUAUAUUGUGGCAAACACAGCAUUACAGUUGGAACUGAAAAACCUUUUACUGCAGCGGGCUAAAUCAGGGUCACACAGAGUGUUUCUUGGUAGUCUUAAACAAGUGUACUUUGAAACAAAAGUAUUCACCUCAAACACAUGGUUAUGGGCUUAAAAAAAGAAGACACCUGUACAAUGUCAGAUAUAGAGAUGAAAUGUAUUACAUUUUGAGUUUGCAUACAAAUAUUACACUUUAUACAUAUCACAGAAGACUGAAAUAUAACAAAACAGUUUGACAUAGAAACACCAGAUUAUCUGCAGCUUUUUUUUUUUUAAGUGUAUUAAUUAUGAAAUCAUGAAAAAUAUUAGUAACAUUCCACCCAUGAGGCCACUAAGUCAUUUGACUGCAGGAUACUUUGGCUGAAGGAAAUUGCUCAACAGAAUGAAACAAAACACUUGCAAACGGGUUUAAACCUUAACAAAAGUUUUGAACAAGCUAUAUUGCAGCAAUUACUAACAAAGACAAGUGGCUACCAUACCAAAAAUGACAGAAAUAGGCUAAGGUUAUAAGUAGGUCUGUUGUAAAAUAAAUAACAUAUCUUAAACUAAAGACGGAGCUCAAAAUUAAAAGACAGUUAACAUUUAAUUUAGCCAAUGAAAAUGUCUCAACAGAAUUAAACAAAACAGAUUUUGCAUAUUUAAAGAACUGUUUUCGAUUAAUAAAUAGGCUUACAAUAAUAACAAUGAUAUACAAUAAUUAUUAUUAUGAUAAAACUCUGAUGAUUAAACUAAAUGAUUAAACUACAUUUUAGUUCCAAAAUUGCAUCCUACCUGAAUAGGGAGUUGCACAGUAGUCUGCAUUCUUUUUAUCUUAGUCCACUACAAUAUUAAAACUCGUAUAAAAUUCCUCUUGUAGGCUUUUCAAUAUAGACAUCCUCUUUUUCAUCUAACUUUUGGUUGACUUGAAAAAGGCCUCCAUCUUUGCAAGUAUCUGUAGCCUAGGCCAAGCUCCUCUGUUCCUCUCUCUCUCCCUCUCCUCAGCAGCAGGCGCAUGUCUGAGCAAGGCGAGAGAGAUUGGUACUGAAGCGCCAAUUCGGGGUGUAGGCUAUGAUAGACAGCCUCUCCUGGACAAUUUGUCCUGCUACAAUUUUAUUUAUCUGCUUUAAUUUAAAAAAAUCUCAGCCAAAUGCAGGCAAUUACCAGCUAAGGGAACCCAUGGAGCAUUUUCCCAUCAGAGGGUGAUUUGAAAAGUCAUAGUGUUCCAUCAAAUGUACUUGUUGAAGAUAAAAGUAUGUGUGUAAAUAUGUAGUGCACAUGAAAAUUCCCAUGUAUCGAAUAAAUGUACCGGGUUUCCAUCACAUUUUCAAGUCUUACUUAUGGUUUUGUCACAAAACAUGUUGCGUAGCGAAUGUGCCCACUCUGGUAUUGGCGGGUGCGCUCCAGUUCUACUACAUGAUGAGAUUAUUAUGGACAGAAGUGCCAGAUUAUUUUCUUUCUUUUUUCAAAUGGGAGCCAAGCAUUGAUCACCAUGUCACCAAAACAAGAUCCUCGAUAUUUAUUGAAAGCAGCAUCAACUUCAUCACUGUGCAGUUUCACCACCCUGUGAAGUUCAUCUUAACUUAUUGCAUCUGUAUCCUAGUAAACUGCAUGCUUUCCCAUGACGUGGUGACAUUUUUCUAUCAGACAUGUAGGCUACUUUACUCGCAUAAAAAGGUUGAAAGGAAACCUGGUUAAUGUCAAGCCAUUUUGAGGAUGUUGGAAUUCUUGAAUGAAUGUGCGUAUGCCUACAUGAAGCUUUUGAAGUAGCCUAAUCUGAUUCAAACAUCGUGACUGGAUGUGUUUAUGCCAUAUAUAUAAAAGGUAAUACAUCUAAACAGUUACAUGAUACAUAUUUUGGCUAUAUUGAAGCGUUAGGUUCUAGGUGUUUGAAGAAUAGCCGGAGAGGAAGCAGAACGUGUUAAACUUUCCUGGAUAACUGGGCAUGCCGGGAGCAUAUGUGGCCACAUUAUUAUAGGACGACUUGGGUGAAUGAUUAUCUCAACAAACAGCGCAUUCAGUAUCAAAAGUAAAAAUACAGCCAGACUGGCCUGCUACUGUUCCUUUCUAGACCUUACAAACUGCCAAGAGUAGACCCACAACUCAUCCAAAUCUAAUGAAACAUUCAUAUCACAGUGCUUUUGCACUGUUAUUCAAAUGACUCUUUCACUGCAGCAUAGAGUAGGCUAGAAUGUUGACUCAACGCCACAAGAGCAAAGAACAUAUUUCAAACCUUGCAUGCUAGGGGGAGGUAGUUGCAAUAACGUUGGAAUGGUUUAGUCGACUUCCUCAAUAGUUGGUCCAGAAGAUCCACCGCCUCCAGAAACGGCGCCACCUGGUGUUGUAGGCUAGCAUAGGUAGGAUAAUUGUAUUGUCCCUAAACAAGAUCAGUAAGAUUUGAGUUGUGUGCCUCAUGGCUUCACUGUUCUUUCAUGCGCAAUGAUGCACCUGGCCUCUCCGCUGCCUAUCAGCUAAUCCUAUUUGUUCUUGUCCAUUCAUAUAAAAAAGGGCUUUCCUCUGACACCGCCUGGUACAGAGGUCCUGGAUGACAGGAAGCUUGGCCCCAGUGAUGUACUGGGCCGUACGCACUACCCUCUGUAGUGCCUUGCAGUCGGAGGCCGAGCAGUUGCCAUACCUAUAUACCAGUCCUUCACAAUGCCGGGGCUGCACAACUAUCAAGACAGAGUAGUUUAAGAAACCAAUUUACACGAUUCACCAUCAUUCUCUGUGAGUCUCGCUAUAAAGUUAAGAAGUGGGUUGAUCUCUGUGAGAUUGUCUAAUUCCCUCUGACUGAGGAAGGGUCAGUGUGAUGUAGUUUUAUUUAUUUUUAUUUUUAUUGAACCUUAAUUUAACUAGGCAGGUCAGUUAAGAACAAAUUCUUAUAAAUUCGUAUAUACCCACUUGAUGUACAGAUAAACCCACUUUUUGUACAGUUACCUGGGCGUUUUCCUCUCCCUGUUUACUCUGUUACAUCUCUACAGAAUCUACAGAGGGGUUCUGCAGUGCCAGACAGCAGGUACCUCCAGGGCUCCUUUCCCAACAUCCAGAUUUGUCCCCCUGUAUCUAUCCAACAUCAGACAUCCAUCAAGAUGCAUCAUGCUCCUAAAUCUCAUCUACCAUAACAUUCUGGUUAAUUAAGUCUUUUCUAACUAAAUCUUCCCUAAAUGAUUUUCAGUUGUAGGUGUGGUGUCUUAACUAAUGAAGCAACAGUUAUAACAACAUUCAUCGGUCUUUGUACUUGGCGACUUCAACCUCCCGACGUCUGCCUUCGAUUCAUUUCUUUCCAACGCUCUCUUUCCCCUCCUUGCCUCUUUUGACCUCACCCUUUCCCAAUCCCCUCCAACUCACAAGAUGACAUCCUGCGACUAGUGAGGUCUGGCCGCCUGACAAUCUGCCUGCUUGACCCCAUCCCCUCCUCCAGACCAUCUCUGGAGGCCUUCUCCCACUCCUCACUUCCCUCACUUCCCUCAUCAACUCAUCCCUGACCACUGGCUGUGUCCCCUCUGACUUCAAAAUGGCCCGAGUUGCUCCCCUCCUCAAGAAACCAACACUCGACCAACAUCUGACAUCCAAACAACAUCUGACGUCAAAAACUAUAGACCUGUAUCCUUUCUUUUUUAUCUUUCCAAAACACUUGAGCGUGCUGUCUCUGAUCAACUUUCUCGUUAUCUCUCUCAGAACAAUCGUCUUGACUCUAGCCAGUCAGGCUUCACGACGGGUCACUCAAUCGAGACUGUUCUUCUCUGUUACGGAGGCUUUCCGCACUGCCAAAGCUGACUCUUCUCUGUUCUCAUCCUCCUAGAUCUAUCCGCUGCCUUCGACUCCGUGAACCAUCAAAUCCUCCUCUCCACCCUUUCAGGGAUGGGUAUCUCAGGCUCUGCAGACUCUUGGUUUGCAUCCUACCUGGCAGGCCGCUCCUACCAGAUGACGUUGAGAGGAUUUGUGUCUGCACCACGGACUCUCACUACUGGUGUCCCCCAGGGCUGUGAGAUGUGGUUGUCCCACCUAGCUAUCUUAAGAUGAUAGCACUAACUCUCCUUCAUUAGGCUCGGCGUAUCCCAGUCCCUUAGUGAUGACGCGACAGAUGAUUCCUCCAUCCUCCCUUGUAACUCAAACAGCUCCAUCUAACACACACAAACAAAAUAUUCAUUUAAGCGCUCUCACAAAGUCACACAUGUCAAUGUUGACUGAAUGUGUAGCUAAAAAACAAACUCUCUCAAUCCCUCACAGACAGACCUGGAAGACGUGGUUGGGGGGUAUCUUUGGGGGGACUGCCGUAGUCGUACUCUGGUUGUACUUCUUUCAUAGUAACCACUCCCAGGUAUCACAACUUGAUUGCAUGACGCACACACACACACACACACACA